This 144-nucleotide small RNA is filed under the name Chrysemys picta bellii (western painted turtle). RNAcentral's name for it is "TUC338 (ENSCPBG00000010290.1)". The record is from RNAcentral. Lineage: Eukaryota; Metazoa; Chordata; Testudines; Emydidae.
UUGAAAACUUGGAAUUCUCUAUUUAUCCACAGGCUAGGUACAGUACAGGCAGCUGCAAUGUGAGCUUACACGCACUGCGGUGAUAAUGAGUUCCACCCUGUUGUGCUAAAGGGAUCAUCCUCUCAGCCUCCCUCCUAGCUGUCC